Molecule: ribosomal RNA, 466 nt
Filed under: uncultured bacterium
Lineage: Bacteria
Description: partial 16S ribosomal RNA
Rfam family: Bacterial small subunit ribosomal RNA
Source: RNAcentral
ACGAACGCUGGCGGCGUGCUUCACACAUGCAAGUCGCACGGAAAGGCCCUGCUUUUGUGGGGUACUCGAGUGGCGAACGGGUGAGUAACACGUGAGUAACCUGCCCUUGACUUUGGGAUAACUUCAGGAAACUGGGGCUAAUACCGGAUAGGAGCUCCUGCUGCAUGGUGGGGGUUGGAAAGUUUCGGCGGUUGGGGAUGGACUCGCGGCUUAUCAGCUUGUUGGUGGGGUAGUGGCUUACCAAGGCUUUGACGGGUAGCCGGCCUGAGAGGGUGACCGGCCACAUUGGGACUGAGAUACGGCCCAGACUCCUACGGGAGGCAGCAGUGGGGAAUAUUGCACAAUGGGCGGAAGCCUGAUGCAGCAACGCCGCGUGCGGGAUGACGGCCUUCGGGUUGUAAACCGCUUUCGCCUGUGACGAAGCGUGAGUGACGGUAAUGGGGAAAGAAGCACCGGCUAACUACGU